RNAcentral lists this ribosomal RNA (173 nucleotides) under uncultured Heliorestis sp. Its description in RNAcentral is "partial 16S ribosomal RNA". It matches the Rfam family "Bacterial small subunit ribosomal RNA", at positions 335 to 523 of the family's 1533-position model. Lineage: Bacteria; Bacillati; Bacillota; Clostridia; Eubacteriales; Heliobacteriaceae. The record is from RNAcentral.
ACUCCUACGGGAGGCAGCAGUGAGGAAUUUUCCGCAAUGGGUGAAAGCCUGACGGAGCAAUGCCGCGUGGAGGAAGAAGGCCUUAGGGUUGUAAUCUCCUUUUCUCAUUGAAGAAGUUCUGACGGUAUUUGAGGAAUAAGCAUCGGCUAACUUUGUGCCAGCAGCCGCGGUAA